This is a non-coding RNA of Planctomycetes bacterium GWF2_41_51, 73 nucleotides long. Lineage: Bacteria; Pseudomonadati; Planctomycetota. The record is from Rfam.
GAGGGUGUAGCUCAGCUGGUAGAGCAACGCACUUUUAAUGCGUAGGUCUUGGGUUCGAAUCCCAACACCCUCA